AGCGAACGCUGGCGGCAGGCCUAACACAUGCAAGUCGAACGAACCUUUCGGGGUUAGUGGCGGACGGGUGGGUAACACGUGGGAACGUGCCUUUAGGUUCGGAAUAACUCAGGGAAACUUGUGCUAAUACCGAAUGUGCCCUUCGGGGGAAAGAUUAAUCGCCUUUAGAGCGGCCCGCGUCUGAUUAGCUAGUUGGUUGAGGUAAUGGCUCACCAAGGCGACGAUCAGUAGCUGGUCUGAGAGGAUGAUCAGCCACAUUGGGACUGAGACACGGCCCAAACUCCUACGGGAGGCAGCAGUGGGGAAUCUUGCGAAAUGGGCGAAAGCCUGACGCAGCCAUGCCGGGUGAAUGAUGAAGGUCUUAGGAUUGUAAAAUUCUUUCACCGGGGACGAUAAUGACGGUACCCGGAGAAGAAGCCCCGGCUAACUUCGUG
RNAcentral lists this ribosomal RNA (434 nucleotides) under uncultured bacterium. RNAcentral describes it as "partial 16S ribosomal RNA". It matches the Rfam family "Bacterial small subunit ribosomal RNA", at positions 29 to 507 of the family's 1533-position model. The record is from RNAcentral.